RNA transcript from Micropterus dolomieu (smallmouth bass), 954 nucleotides. It is a transcript of the gene named BEN domain-containing protein 5-like, with no coding region annotated. The transcript has 4 exons. Lineage: Eukaryota; Metazoa; Chordata; Actinopteri; Centrarchiformes; Centrarchidae. The record is from RefSeq and is a predicted model, not a curated record.
ACACAUUUUACUCUGCUGUCUCAGGAUUUUGAGAACGCAGUUAUCAGGUUUGGUUUUCCAAGCACAUUCGACUUUUGAGAGACCAUGGGGUAAUUAUAAGGACCAUGGAGGAAUUAUAAAUCUUAGCUGGCCUGGGAAUGCCUCGGUAUCCAGAUUGAACCAGGAAAUGAAGACAAAACAUAAACAUUCAAGGAAUAGCAGCUAUGCAUAAAGCAAAUUAAAAUUUUAGCACACUGCUUUGGAUAUGCAAUAAGGGAAGCCUAUAUCUGGGGGAUUUACAAUAUUUUUUGUCAUGUUUUUCAUCAUCUCUCAAAUUUGUAAUAUAUGUGUUCUUUUUCUCUCAAAGAUCCUGUAUCACAAAGCCCAGAGAAGGCCUUAAAAAUUGCAGAGUCUGGCUGUGCAGAUGAGGUGGGACCCUCUGCUUCUCCCAAAGGAGACGAGGUACAGGAUUUGUCCUGUUUACAACAUGUUUACAUUGCCCUCAGCAUCUGUGUGCAUGGGUUAAUAUUCACUUGGGAGGGGAAGUAAGCAUUGGAAAAGAGACGUGGUCCAGGAUCCAGAAUAGCACCAGGGAUUCGUUAUUUGUGAAAGAGUUGGCAGUGGUGAUGUGGGGCACUAAAACCCUGGGGGAAAGGAGCCUCACAGGGAAAGAAUGCCCCUCCACAUUAAAAGUCUGUUACAAAGAGUGGCUGCGUCGGAAGAAUCUGGAGGACACAGAGCCGCAGGCCAGAUGGAAAAAGGCUGGACGUUUCAUAACUGAAAAAAUUAUGGACAUAAACAAACAAAAAAAAAAGCCACUUCAGUGAGAAUAAGAGCACUCAAAGUGCCAUGCAAUGUAAGGGUACUUAAGUUUUGUUCAUUUUGACGAUGUUGUGAUUUGCUUGUUUUUUAUGUUAAACAGUAAUUGUUUAUUGGUUCUUGUUAUUAUUAAAUGAAAAUACUGUUUUGAAAACA